This 301-nucleotide ribosomal RNA is filed under the name uncultured bacterium. RNAcentral's name for it is "partial 16S ribosomal RNA". It matches the Rfam family "Bacterial small subunit ribosomal RNA", at positions 509 to 809 of the family's 1533-position model. The record is from RNAcentral.
CAGUCCCCGCGGUAAUACAGAGGGUGCGAGCGUUAAUCGGAUUUACUGGGCGUAAAGCGUGCGUAGGCGGCUUCUUAAGUCGGAUGUGAAAUCCCUGAGCUUAACUUAGGAAUUGCAUUCGAUACUGGGAAGCUAGAGUAUGGGAGAGGAUGGUAGAAUUCCAGGUGUAGCGGUGAAAUGCGUAGAGAUCUGGAGGAAUACCGAUGGCGAAGGCAGCCAUCUGGCCUAAUACUGACGCUGAGGUACGAAAGCAUGGGGAGCAAACAGGAUUAGAUACCCCAGUAGUCCCUGUCUCUUAUAA